GACAGGGGAUGCAAGCGUUAUCCGGAAUGAUUGGGCGUAAAGCGUCUGUAGGUGGCUCCUUAAGUCCGUUGUCAAAUCCCAGGGCUCAACCCUGGACAGGCGGUGGAAACUACUAAGCUGGAGUGCGGUAGGGGCAGAGGGAAUUUCCGGUGGAGCGGUGAAAUGCGUAGAGAUCGGAAAGAACACCAAAGGCGAAGGCACUCUGCUGGGCCGACACUGACACUGAGAGACGAAAGCUAGGGGAGCGAAUGGG
Molecule: ribosomal RNA, 253 nt
Filed under: uncultured bacterium
Lineage: Bacteria
Description: partial 16S ribosomal RNA
Rfam family: Bacterial small subunit ribosomal RNA
Source: RNAcentral